UGAGUACGGGAUGCUACGGCAUCGAAGCAGUCUAUGUCAUACUUCCAAGAAAAGCUUGCACUGUCAUAAACAAAGAAUGCCUGUACCAUAACCGACACAGGUGGGUAGGUAGAGUAUACUAAGGGGCGCGAGAUAACUCUCUCUAAGGAACUCGGCAAAAUGACUCCGUAACUUCGGGAGAAGGAGUGCCUUAUUUCUAAGGUUGCAAUAACAAGAUCCAAGCAACUGUUUACCAAAAACACAGGUCUCCGCUAAGUCGUAAGACGAUGUAUGGGGGCUGACGCCUGCCCAGUGCCAGAAGGUUAAAGAAGUUGGUUAGCAUUAGCGAAGCUGAUAACUGAAGCCCUGGUGAACGGCGGCCGUAACAAUAACGGUUCUAAGGUAGCGAAAUUCCUUGUCGGGUAAGUUCCGACCCGCACGAAAGGCGUAAUGAUUUGGAUACUGUCUCGGAGAGGGGCUCGGUGAAAUAGACUUGUCUGUGGAGAUGCGGACUACCUGCACCUGGACAGAAAGACCCUAUGAAGCUUUACUGUAACUUGAGAUUGAAAUUGGACUUUAUUUGCGCAGUAUAGGUGGGAGGCGUUGAGAAUAAUCUUGCGGGAUUGUUGGAGCCAUCAGUGAGAUACCACUCUUGUAAUGUUAGAUUUCUAACUUUGUAUCAUUAUCUGGUCAAAGAACAGUUUCAGGCGGGCAGUUUGACUGGGGCGGUCGCCUCCCAAAGGGUAACGGAGGCGCACAAAGAUUUCCUCUGAACGGGUAGAAAUCGUAUCUAGAGUGUAAAGGCAUAAGGAAGCUUGACUGUGAGACCUACAAGUCGAGCAGGGACGAAAGUCGGUCUUAGUGAUCUGACGGUGCUGAGUGGAAAGGCCGUCACUCAACGGAUAAAAGUUACUCUAGGAUAACAGGCUGAUCUCCCCCAAGAGUUCACAUCGACGGGGAGGUUUGGCACCUCGAUGUCGGCUCAUCGCAUCCUGGGGCGGUAGUCCGUCCCAAGGGUUGGGCUGUUCGCCCAUGAAAGCGGUACGCGAGCUGGGUUCAGAACGUCGUGAGACAGUUCGGUCCAUAUCCGGUGUAGGCGUUAGAAUAUUGAGAGGAGCCUUCUCUAGUACGAGAGGACCGAGAAGGACAUACCUCUGGUGUACCAGUUAUCGUGCCAACGGUAAACGCUGGGUAGCUAUGUAUGGAGUGGAUAACCGCUGAAAGCAUCUAAGUGGGAAGCCCACCUCAAGAUAAG
RNAcentral lists this ribosomal RNA (1234 nucleotides) under metagenome. RNAcentral's name for it is "bacterial LSU rRNA". It matches the Rfam family "Bacterial large subunit ribosomal RNA", at positions 1564 to 2808 of the family's 2925-position model. The record is from RNAcentral.